AGAGUUUGAUCCUGGCUCAGGAUGAACGCUGGCGGUAUGCUUAACACAUGCAAGUCGAACGGGACUCUUCGGAGUUCAGUGGCGGACGGGUGAGUAACGCGUGAGAAUCUGCCUAAAGGACUGGGACAACAGCUGGAAACGGCUGCUAAUACCAGAUAUGCCAGAAAGUGAAAAGGGGUAACCCGCCUUUUGAUGAGCUCGCGUCUGAUUAGCUAGUUGGUAGGGUAAAGGCCUACCAAGGCAUCGAUCAGUAGCUGGUCUGAGAGGACGAUCAGCCACACUGGGACUGAGACACGGCCCAGACUCCUACGGGAGGCAGCAGUGGGGAAUUUUCCGCAAUGGGCGAAAGCCUGACGGAGCAAUACCGCGUGGGGGAGGAAGGCUCUUGGGUCGUAAACCUCUUUUCUCAGGGAAGAAAAAAAUGACGGUACCUGAGGAAUCAGCAUCGGCUAACUCCGUGCCAGCAGCCGCGGUAAUACGGAGGAUGCAAGCGUUAUCCGGAAUGAUUGGGCGUAAAGCGUCCGCAGGUGGCAAUUCAAGUCUGCUGUUAAAGGUCGGGGCUCAACCCCGAAAUGGCGGUGGAAACUGAAUAGCUAGAGUGCGGUGGGGGCAGAGGGAAUUCCUGGUGUAGCGGUGAAAUGCGUAGAGAUCAGGAAGAACACCGGUGGCGAAAGCGCUCUGCUAGGCCGCAACUGACACUCAUGGACGAAAGCUAGGGGAGCGAAUGGGAUUAGAUACCCCUGUAGUCC
This 749-nucleotide ribosomal RNA is filed under the name uncultured cyanobacterium. RNAcentral's name for it is "bacterial SSU rRNA". It matches the Rfam family "Bacterial small subunit ribosomal RNA", at positions 8 to 796 of the family's 1533-position model. Lineage: Bacteria; Bacillati; Cyanobacteriota. The record is from RNAcentral.